CCUACGGGAGGCAGCAGUGAGGAAUAUUGGUCAAUGGGCGCGAGCCUGAACCAGCCAAGUAGCGUGAAGGAUGACUGCCCUACGGGUUGUAAACUUCUUUUAUAAAGGAAUAAAGUGAGGCACGUGUGCCUUUUUGUAUGUAUUUUAUGAAUAAGGAUCGGCUAACUCCGUGCCAGCAGCCGCGGUAAUACGGAGGAUCCGAGCGUUAUCCGGAUUUAUUGGGUUUAAAGGGAGCGUAGAUGGGUUGUUAAGUCAGUUGUGAAAGUUUGCGGCUCAACCGUAAAAUUGCAAUGGAUACUGGCAGACUUGAGUGCAGUUGAGGAAGGCGGAAUUCGUGGUGUAGCGGUGAAAUGCUUAGAUAUCACGAAGAACUCCGAUUGCGAAAGCAGCCUACUAAACUGUCACUGACAUUGAGGCUCGAAAGUGUGGGUAGCAAACAGGAUUAGAUACCCGAGUAGUC
Molecule: ribosomal RNA, 460 nt
Filed under: uncultured bacterium
Lineage: Bacteria
Description: partial 16S ribosomal RNA
Rfam family: Bacterial small subunit ribosomal RNA
Source: RNAcentral